AGGGUGUAACGCUGCGGGCUUGGUGUUGGGGGUCCUUUGAGGGCGCCCAGUGCCGGAGAGAAGUUGUUAAGCCUGCUGCUUGGGGAGUACGUCCGCAAGGAUGAAACUUAAAGGAAUUGGCGGGGGAGCACAACAACGGGUGGAGCUUGCGGUUUAAUUGGAUUCAACGCCGGAAAUCUUACCGGGACCGACAGCAACAUGAAGGCCAAGCUGAAGACUUUGCCGGAUUAGCUGAGAGGAGGUGCAUGGCGUAGUCGUG
This 259-nucleotide ribosomal RNA is filed under the name uncultured archaeon. RNAcentral describes it as "partial 16S ribosomal RNA". It matches the Rfam family "Archaeal small subunit ribosomal RNA", at positions 748 to 1013 of the family's 1478-position model. The record is from RNAcentral.